This 253-nucleotide ribosomal RNA is filed under the name uncultured bacterium. Its description in RNAcentral is "partial 16S ribosomal RNA". It matches the Rfam family "Bacterial small subunit ribosomal RNA", at positions 524 to 776 of the family's 1533-position model. The record is from RNAcentral.
UACAGAGGGUGCAAACGUUGUUCGGAAUUACUGGGCGUAAAGCGAGUGUAGGCGGUUCGAUAAGUCGGAUGUGAAAGCCCCGGGCUCAACCCGGGAAGUGCACUCGAUACUGUCGAGCUAGAGUGUCGGAGAGGUUGGUGGAAUUCUCGGUGUAGAGGUGAAAUUCGUAGAUAUCGAGAGGAACAUCGGUGGCGAAGGCGGCCAGCUGGACGAAUACUGACGCUGAGACUCGAAAGCGUGGGGAGCAAACAGG